This is a long non-coding RNA of Neofelis nebulosa (Clouded leopard), 336 nucleotides long. RefSeq lists it as uncharacterized. NCBI's taxonomy places the organism in Eukaryota, Metazoa, Chordata, Mammalia, Carnivora, Felidae. The transcript is spliced from 3 exons. The record is from RefSeq and is a predicted model, not a curated record.
CUGGUCUCAGCCUUGUUUGUACACCGGCUCAUUGACUCUUCAUAAUAACUCCAUUAGCAAGGACUAUAAUAUGCAGAAAUUUGUGACUACGAUGAGUCCAGAAUUCACUAGGAGGGUGGCAUAUGGAAACGAAUCUCUUCGCUAGGACACAAGAGCAGAAAAAGCCCAGGAUAGCUCAGAAAACUUCCGUCCUGUAAUAUCCAGUAAAACUGGUGACCAUUCACUGGGUGUUUCCUAUGUGCCAGUCACUGUGCUGAAUGCAUACUUCCUUCAAUCCUCACAAAACCUCCAAAAGAUAUGUAUCGUUGCCACCAUUUCACAGGUAAGGAAGCUGAA